Molecule: ribosomal RNA, 430 nt
Filed under: uncultured bacterium
Lineage: Bacteria
Description: bacterial SSU rRNA
Rfam family: Bacterial small subunit ribosomal RNA
Source: RNAcentral
UUAGGGAACUUUCACACUGGGCGCAAGCCUGAUGGAGUAACGCCGCGUGGGCGAAGAAGGUCUUCGGAUCGUAAAGCCCUUUUCUGGGGGACGAGGAGAAGACGGUACCCCAGGAAGAAGUCUCGGCUAACUACGUGCCAGCAGCCGCGGUAAUACGUAGGAGGCGAGCGUUGUCCGGAAUUACUGGGCGUAAAGAGCGUGUAGGCGGUCCGGUAAGUCGCCCUUGAAAGCCCCCUGCUCAACGGGGGGAGGGAGGGCGAAACGGGCGGACUCAAUGGAGUCUGGUAGGGGGAGGCGGAACGGCCGGUGGAGCGGUGAAAUGCGUAGAGAUCGGCCAGAACACCAGUGGCGAAGGCGGCCUCCUGGGCCAGAACUGACGCUGAGACGCGACAGCGUGGGGAGCGAACGGAAUUAGAUACCCCCGUAGUCC